RNAcentral lists this ribosomal RNA (256 nucleotides) under uncultured bacterium. RNAcentral's name for it is "partial 16S ribosomal RNA". It matches the Rfam family "Bacterial small subunit ribosomal RNA", at positions 524 to 776 of the family's 1533-position model. The record is from RNAcentral.
UACGUAGGGUGCAAGCGUUAAUCGGAAUUACUGGGCGUAAAGCGUGCGCAGGCGGUUCGCUAAGACAGAUGUGAAAUCCCCGGGCUUAACCUGGGAACUGCAUUUGUGACUGGCGGGCUAGAGUAUGGGCAGAGGGGGGUAGAAUUCCACGUGUAGCAGUGAAAUGCGUAGAGAUGUGGAGGAAUACCGAUGGCGAAGGCAGCCCCCUGGGUCAUAACACUGACGCUCAUGCACGAAAGCGUGGGGAGCAAACAGG